UUUGCACGUUCGACGUGGUCAGUCAUUCAAAUAGCGUCAAAUUUGUAUCCGCCCACAAGUGUUGCCAAUAUUUUUGGUCAUUGGUUGGACGGUAUUCCAAAUAGGUUCAAAACGCUAAUAAGGGUGGGAACGUAUGCCUUAAUGUGGUCGCUAUGGCUAUGUAAAAAUGAUUUAGUUUUUAAUGACAAAAAUGCUUCUCCUCUACAGGUUAUUUUCCGGUGUACGCACUCGCUUCUUACGUGGUCUAUACUACAGCGAGCGGAGUACCAACCGUUGUUCAAGGCGGUGUGUACGCGAUUGGAGCAGGUGGCUACGGAGGUUUUUUCCCAACAUGAGUGGCAGCAUAACCUCCGGAUUGACCCACCACCACUUUUGACAUAG
RNAcentral lists this ribosomal RNA (381 nucleotides) under Triticum aestivum (bread wheat). RNAcentral's name for it is "partial small subunit ribosomal RNA". The record is from RNAcentral. Lineage: Eukaryota; Viridiplantae; Streptophyta; Magnoliopsida; Poales; Poaceae.